This 4934-nucleotide long non-coding RNA is filed under the name Homo sapiens (human). Its description in RNAcentral is "HSALNT0054874". The record is from RNAcentral. Lineage: Eukaryota; Metazoa; Chordata; Mammalia; Primates; Hominidae.
CUUUGGGAAUGUCAGGCCUCUGAGCCCAAGCCAAGCCAUCGCAUCCCCUAUGACAUGCACGUACACGCCCAGAUGGCCUGAAGUAACUGAAGAAUCACAAAAGAAGUGAAUAUGCCCUGCCCCACCUUAACUGAUGACAUUCCACCACAAAAGAAGUGUAAAUGGCCAGUCCUUGCCUUAACUGAUGACAUUACCUUGUGAAAGUCCUUUUCCUGGCUCAUCCUGGCUCAAAAAGCACCCCCACUGAGCACCUUGCGACCCCCCGCUCCUACCCGCCAGAGAACAAACCCCCUUUGACUGUAAUUUUCCUUUACCUAACCAAAUCCUAUAAAACGGCCCCACCCUUAUCUCCCUUCGCUGACUCUCUUUUCGGACUCAGCCCGCCUGCACCCAGGUGAAAUAAACAGCCUCGUUGCUCACACAAAGCCUGUUUGGUGGUCUCUUCACACGGACGCGCAUGAAAUUUGGUGCCGUGACUCGGAUCGGGGGACCUCCCUUGGGAGAUCAAUCCCCUGUCCUCCUGCUCUUUGCUCCGUGAGAAAGAUCCACCUACGACCUCAGGUCCUCAGACCAACCAGCCCAAGAAACAUCUCACCAAUUUCAAAUCCGGUAAGCGGCCUCUUUUUACUCUGUUCUCCAACCUCCCUCACUAUCCCUCAACCUCUUUCUCCUUUCAAUCUUGGCGCCACACUUCAAUCUCUCCCUUCUCUUAAUUUCAAUUCCUUUCAUUCUCUGGUAGAGACAAAAGAGACAUGUUUUAUCCGUGAACCCAAAACUCCGGCGCCGGUCACGGACUGGGAAGGCAGUCUUCCCUUGGUGUUUAAUCAUUGCAGGGACGCCUCUCUGAUUUCACGUUUCAGACCACGCAGGGAUGCCUGCCUUGGUCCUUCACCCUUAGCGGCAAGUCCCGCUUUCCUGGGGCAGGGGCAAGUACCCCUCAACCCCUUCUCCUUCACCCUUAGCGGCAAGUCCCGCUUUUCUGGGGCAGGGGCAAGUACCCCUCAACCCCUUCUCCUUCACCCUUAGCAGCAAGUCCCGCUUUCCUAGGGGGCAAGAACCCCCCAAUCGCUUAUUUUCACGCCCCAACCUCUUAUCUCUGUGCCCCAAUCCCUUAUUUCCACGCCCCAAUCUCUUAUCUCUGCGCCCCAAUCCCUUAUUUCCGCGCCCCAACCCUUUCUCUGCUUUUCUGGAGGGGAAGAAACCCCCACCCCUUCUCCGUGUCUCUACUCUUUUCUCUGGGCUUGCCUCCUUCACUAUGGGCAAGCUUCCACCUUCCAUUCCUUUCUUCUCCCUUAGCAUGUAUUCUUAAGAACUUAAAAUCUCUUCAAUUCUCACCUGACCUAAAAUCUAAGCGUCUUAUUUUCUUCUGCAAUGCCACUUGACCCCAAUACAAACUCAACAGUAGUUCCAAAUAGCCAGAAAAUGGCACUUUCAAUUUUUCCACCCUACAAGAUCUAAAUAAUUCUUGGCGUAAAAUGGGCAAAUGGUGUGAGGUGCCUGACGUCCAGGCAUUCUUUUACACAUCAGUCCCUUCCUAGUCUCUGUGCCCAGUGCAACUCGUCCCAAAUCUUCCUUCUUUCCCUCCCGCCUGUCCCCUCAGUACCAACCCCAAGCGUCACUGAGUCUUUCUAAUCUUCCUUUUCUACAGACCCAUCUGACCUCUCCCUUCCUCCCCAGGCUGCUCCUUGCCAGGCCGAGCUAGGUCCCAAUUCUUCCUCAGCCUCUGCUCCUCCACCCUAUAAUCUUUUUAUCACCUCCCCUCCUCACACCUGCUCCGGCUUACAGUUUCAUUCCGUGACUAGCCCUCCCCGACCUGCCCAGCAAUUUAUUCUUAAAAAGGUGGCUGGAGCUAAACGCAUAGUCAAGGUUAAUGCUCCUUUUUCUUUAUCCCAAAUCAGAUAGUGUUUAGGCUCUUUUUCAUCAAAUAUAAAAAUCUAGCCCAGUUCAUGGCUCGUUUGGCAGCAACCCUAAGACACUUUACAGCCCUAGCCCCUAAAAGGUCAAAAGGCCAUCUUAUUCUCAAUAUACAUUUUAUUACCCAAUCUGCUCCCGACAUUAAAUAAAACUCCAAAAACUGGAAUCUGGCCCUCAAACCCCACAACAGGACUUAAUUAACCUCACCUUCAAGGUGUGAAAUAACAGAAAAAAGUUGCAAUUCCUUGCCUCCACUGUGAGACAAACCCCAGCCACAUCUCCAGCACACAAGAACUUCCAAACGCCUGAACUGUAGCAGCCAGACGUUUCUCCAGAACCUCCUCCCCCAGGAACUUGCUACACAUGCCGGAAAUCUGGCCACUGGGCCAAGGAACGCCCGCAGCCCGGGAUUCCUCCUAAGCCGCGUCCCAUCUGUGUGGGACCCCACUGAAAAUCGGACUGUUCAACUCACCUGGCAGCCACUCCCAGAGCUCCUGGAACUCUGGCCCAAGGUUCUCUGACUGACUCCUUCUUGGCUUACUGGCUGAAGACUGACGCUGCCUGAUCGCCUCAGAAGCCCCGCAGACCAUCAUGGACGCCGAGCUUUAGCCCGCCUGCACCCAGGUGAAAUAAACAGCCUUGUUGCUCACACAAAGCCUGUUUGGUGGUCUCUUCACACAGACGCGCAUGAAAGGGAAGACAUACAAAAACAAGGCCUCUGAGGUAGGUACUACUGAGACAGCCAGGUGGGAAGGACUCCUUGGCAAAACUCCAACCAGCCUGUACACUGGGAGGAAUGUGCACUGGGAUGGAGCCAUAGAAGUUUGUGUCGUUUGCAGUGGGGAGGAGCCUGGUCCCUCCUCUUCCUGUGAGGAACCUGGAAUUCAAUCUGUGAGGAACUUCUUGAAAGACCCAUCAAUUCUUCAAUAGAAAGCAUCAAAGGACAAUUUACACCCUAAGACUGAACCCCUGACCUCAAAAUCUUUCCCUUGCUAUGUUCACCAACCUCAACAGAAAUAUUAGGAUUCUUACCUGAUCCUAGCCAAGCCCCCUCCCUCAUCUCCCAUUAAAGGGUCCAUCUUCAACCAAACUUAAGUCUCAAUAAAUAUCUGGACAUUGUCCUUCCAACUCUGGGAAGCUGCUAAGACUCUGUCCUUACUGCAGAAGAAAAAACAGCCUUGUACCCUGGUCUUCUCAACAGGUUGUUCUGGAGAUGUUCUGGGGAGACUGCAUUAAACACAGCUUCGCACCAUUGAAUAAACUCAGCAACAAGCCAAUGCAUAAAAGUAAUCUAUGCUUCAGGUCACAGAAGCUUCAAGGGGAAAAAAACAGAAUACUCUAGGGCCAUUGUUCACAAACUCAUCUGAAAACAUCCUGGAAAAAUUUUCCCAAACACAUGGAAAGAAAGAGAGGAAAAAAGAAGAUAUCUGAAUAAUGUGGACUAGAAUAAAGAGCUGCCAGGAGCUGUUUAUUUAAAAACAGUACUUUCUUCUCUGGCUGAGUCCCUGGUAUUCUCUGCUGCAAUCUGUAGCUGUAGAAUUUUGAAGAAUGCAAUUAAAUUCAAAUGGUUUGAUGAGUAAUAUCUUUUCUCUUCAUAUUUGUCUAAAACUUUUCUUUAUUGAAUAGCGAGAGUGAUGAAAGUGUUUUCCAUAAUAAUAACAAUGACAAGGGCCUGAUGAUGAACUACAAUUAGCUCAGUGAUUCAUCAGUUAGCAGUGAAAUUUUCAAUGCAUCCUGACAUUUAGAGCAUUUGGUUGUGAUUAACAGUCUUUGAAAUGUCACCGAAUUUUAUUUAAUUGGCUAAGAAAAAAUUUUAAAAGGUAAUCACUGCAAAGAUCACAUUCAUCGCCAAAAAUGAUAAUUGCAGUUGUCACAUGACAAGGUAGAUGCUAACUACUGUAGCAAACUUGCUCUGUGUUCUUACAGAAUCUAAUGAAUGCAGCAGAGAUCAAGAGCUUGAAGGGGCUUAGAAGUUUAUUUGAAUGCUCCUUUCAAAGCCAUUUGUAUCAAGAACUGCAAGCCUUUAAGUCAUCUGAGCAAAUACCAAAACUGAAAUGCAGUCAUGACACUGGCUCAGGACUGAGAUCUAAACAGUCAUCUUCGUGGCAACAGGUAUUAUUGGUAAAAGAGAGUCUGGAAAUUAGGGCCUAGCCUUUCUUGAGAGGCCAGUAUAGCUGAGUAGUAAAAAGUCAAGUUUUGGAGUCAGGUGUAACUAACCCACAAUCCAAGUUAUGAACUGUGGAGUGAAUGACUCACCUGCCUGGGCUUCUGCUUGCUCACCUGCAAAAUGACAACAGCCUGCCCUACAGAGCUGCCUGCAGACCAACAGCAGCAAGGCCUUGGGAGUCUCUGCUGGUCUCCCAGCUCCUGCUUGACACCUCAAGAUGAUGUUGCUCCAUUUAGUGCCUGUUUGUUCUCAGACUAUCCCAUGCCUUCUUCCUGCAAACCACAGCUCUCAAGCUCCCCAACAGUUUGACAAGGAUCAUACAAAGGGGAAAGGAAGCAAGGAAAGAAUCAAGGUCUUUCUAAGCAAUUUCUCUACGCUCUCAGGGGAUAGGCAUUUUCUGGCCGUGACUGUGUCUCCUCCAUAGUUCCAACUUCCACAGGACAGGUCCUUCCCUCCAUAGUCACAGUUCUUCUUGGGUAGCCUCCUCCACACUUCUGAAUGGCCCAUCUGAAUGGCCACAGUGACUCGGCGCUGAUGUCACCCCUCCUGCCUGUUGUACCCCCUGCCCUAGAGAGGAGAUGCCUCCUGCUGAUGCUAAUCUGUGGAUUGCUUCAUUCUCUGGUUUCUCAGCUUUUCCAUCCCUUAUGCCAUCAAUUGCCCGAAUUAAACUCCUACUAUUUAAAAUACCUAGAGUGGUUUUUAUUUUUCUGCUUCUUAACAUCUUCACUGCUAUCUCCCUAGUCCAAGUCACCAUUAUCUUACCCAGAUAACUUAAUGGCCUCCCUGUUAUUGUCCUUGCCCUCCUAGGGUUGCUUCUAAAUACAGCAGCCAGAAAAAUGCUGUUGAGUUCAAG